This is a non-coding RNA of Triticum aestivum (bread wheat), 45 nucleotides long. The record is from Rfam. NCBI's taxonomy places the organism in Eukaryota, Viridiplantae, Streptophyta, Magnoliopsida, Poales, Poaceae.
UUAAAGGCUUUUUUUAAGGCCAUAAAUGGUCUUUAAUAGGUUAAA